CCUACCGAUUGAAUGGUCCGGUGAAGUGUUCGGAUCGCGGCGACGUGGGCGGUCCGCCGCCGGCGACGUCGCGAGAAGUCCACUGAACCUUAUCAUUUAGAGGAAGGAGAAGUCGUAACAAGGUUUCCGUAGGUGAACCUGCGGAAGGAUCAUUGCCGUCUCUGGAACCACCACCGGCGAACCAGUCCCGCGACGACGCCGCUCGCGGCGCGCGGCCCGGGGGACGACCCGGGGACGCGCGUCCCGACGAGCUCCGAACAACCCUCUGGGCGCGGCGAGCGCCAAGGAAUCGAAAGCGGAAGGGGCGGCCGCCCCGCCCGGUGCGGUGGGGAGCGGCCGCCCGUCUGUGAAUCUUCUAGACGACUCUCGGCAACGGAUAUCUCGGCUCUCGCAUCGAUGAAGAACGUAGCGAAAUGCGAUACUUGGUGUGAAUUGCAGAAUCCCGUGAACCAUCGAGUCUUUGAACGCAAGUUGCGCCCGAGGCCACUCGGCCGAGGGCACGCCUGCCUGGGCGUCACGCCACCCAUCGCCCCCACCCCCGCGGCAUUCCCAUGCCCGGGCCGGGGAGCGGAGAAUGGCCGUCCGUGCCCGAGCCCUCGGCGCGCGGUCGGCGGAAAAAGGAGGACACCGUGCGGCGCGACACGGCGUGUGGGGGUUGAGAGGCGAUUCGUCGCCGAUCGUACGUCGCGCCCGCAUUCCGCCGCGCGGAUCCACCCGCGGGACCAGACCCGCCCGCAGCCGCGGGCGCUCGGACCGCGACCCCAGGUCAGGCGUGGCCACCCGCUGAAUUUAAGCAUAUCAAUAAGCGGAGGAGAAGAAACUUACGAGGAUUCCCCUAGUAACGGCGAGCGAACCGG
Molecule: ribosomal RNA, 857 nt
Rfam family: 5.8S ribosomal RNA (bases 362-517)